RNAcentral lists this ribosomal RNA (468 nucleotides) under uncultured bacterium. Its description in RNAcentral is "partial 16S ribosomal RNA". It matches the Rfam family "Bacterial small subunit ribosomal RNA", at positions 28 to 507 of the family's 1533-position model. The record is from RNAcentral.
GACGAACGCUGGCGGCGUGCUUAACACAUGCAAGUCGAACGGAAAGGCCCUGCUUUUGUGGGGUGCUCGGGUGGCGAACGGGUGAGUAACACGUGAGUAACCUGCCCUUGACUUUGGGAUAACUUCAGGAAACUGGGGCUAAUACCGGAUAGGAGCUCCUGCUGCAUGGUGGGGGUUGGAAAGUUUCGGCGGUUGGGGAUGGACUCGCGGCUUAUCAGCUUGUUGGUGGGGUAGUGGCUUACCAAGGCUUUGACGGGUAGCCGGCCUGAGAGGGUGACCGGCGACAUUGGGACUGAGAGAGGGACCAGACGCCUACGGGAGGCAGCAGUGGGGAAUAUUGCACAAUGGGCGGAAGCCUGAGGCAGCAACGCCGCGUGCGGGAUGACGGCCUUCGGGUUGUAAACCGCUUUCGCCUGUGACGAAGCGUGAGUGACGGUAAUGGGUAAAGAAGCACCGGCUAACUACGUG